Molecule: ribosomal RNA, 250 nt
Filed under: uncultured Chroococcidiopsis sp.
Lineage: Bacteria; Bacillati; Cyanobacteriota; Cyanophyceae; Chroococcidiopsidales; Chroococcidiopsidaceae
Description: partial 16S ribosomal RNA
Rfam family: Bacterial small subunit ribosomal RNA
Source: RNAcentral
CUAGCUGUAAACGAUGGAUACUAGGCGUUGAGAGUAUCGACCCUCUCAGUGUCGUAGCUAACGCGUUAAGUAUCCCGCCUGGGGAGUACGCGCGCAAGCGUGAAACUCAAAGGAAUUGACGGGGGCCCGCACAAGCGGUGGAGUAUGUGGUUUAAUUCGAUGCAACGCGAAGAACCUUACCAGGGCUUGACAUGUCCGGAACCCUGCCCAAAGGCGGGGGUGCCUACGGGGACCGGAACACAGGUGGUGC